CCCUUUUCCUUCCCAGGGUGUCCCUCCUCUGGCCCCGCCCUGCCUUAGCACUCCAGCUUCAGCGUUGGCUGUCUUGGGGCGCCUCCGCCCAGCUCCUUAGCCUUAACCGGGUGCGGUUGCGGGGAACCACCUGCUUCCUGGAUCCCAGACAGAAUUUUUCUCGUCUGUGUCUCCUUUAAGUCUCAGCCAACCUAGCGAAAAGCUGAUUUCCAAACACCCAGACCAAGCGCUAGGUUUUGGUGGAGUCGGGCUUGGUACCUGUGUAGCUGUGUGGCACUGGGCAGCUCCUCUCUGGGGCCUUGGUUUCCUGUCUAUGGGUACCACCAUUCCUGCACUCGCUCUUCACAGGGUUACGUUUGCAGACGCCCAAAUUGGGGAGGUGAUUCUACACUCAGCAAGCAAGUCAGCGCAGAGCUCGGUCAGAGCUUGGUCUCAGAAUCCACGUACUCUAGCAGGCAUCUCCCCCCUCAGUAGUCUGUGUCACAUGCCCGGUCUCAACUUGUAUCCACUCACUUCUUAACUGGUGUCUGUCCCAGAACACUUGUUUUCCAGCCACUGGGUCCACAUCCAAAUUGUUUCUGAUGAUAUUAAAAAUUGUUUCUGUUGAUAUAGAAGAGACGCUGAUAAGUGUCAUUUUCCUGUUGAUGACAGAAAUAGGGAUCUGCCUCUCAGGGACUCUGUAGCAACCACUUAUCCAAGCUCUCUUCACUAGCGGAGGUCACACAACGAACACACUCAGAUGAGCUCCCUCACAAUUCUCGCAAAGAUCUACUGCAGUAUUUCCAAGGUUUCUAUCCAGCCGUUCCUCCCUAAGCUGGACACCACCUCUGAGAGCCGUCAUCCCGAUUACCCCAGUAUGCGCUGCUCCAGUCUGCACACCGAGGGCGGUGGGCUCCUCCUGGGAGGUUUGGAUUCAAAAGACCCAGAGUGGGGCCCAGAAAUCAGCAUUCAGAGUUUUGCCUCUGUAGAUGUCUGUGCACCGCUUACAUGCCAGGUGCCCUCAAGGCCAGUCUUAAGCACCAUUGGGAGACUGGGAAUCUCGUUUCUCUUUUCUUUU
Molecule: long non-coding RNA, 1057 nt
Organism: Mus musculus (house mouse)
Lineage: Eukaryota; Metazoa; Chordata; Mammalia; Rodentia; Muridae
Product: predicted gene, 51453
Exons: 3
Source: RefSeq, a predicted model, not a curated record